This 1406-nucleotide long non-coding RNA is filed under the name Homo sapiens (human). RNAcentral's name for it is "non-protein coding lnc-NUDT4-1:1". The record is from RNAcentral. Lineage: Eukaryota; Metazoa; Chordata; Mammalia; Primates; Hominidae.
GUAAUAAGUUGCAAAUCUGAAAAUCAUUUCUUUAUUUCAAUGUAAGGUAAGUUUAUAAACAGUCAGACCAAAAGGUCUGCUUUUAAAGUUUUGCAAAUGCUGGUCAGAUUGAUUAGUCCUUUUUUGAAUUUUUUUUUUUUUUUUUGAGACGGAGUCUCGCUCUGUCGCCCAGGCUGGAGUGCAGUUUUUUAAUCCUAAAGCUUUUUAAUUUAAGGCUUUUUAAUUUUCAGUUUGCUUACUCCAUUCUUUUGUAAAAGAAAAAAAUCACUUUAGAUUAAAUGAAAUUGUAAUUAAGGCUUCUACUUCCAUUUCUCACCUUACGAGCUUAUCUUCUGGAUCCCCCACUUAAAAAACAAAGUUCCCUUUUCAUUUAAAAAUUAAAGAAACUCCUGGGUUAGUACUUAACACAAACAAACUAAUAAUUACCAUGUAAUAGAAGCAACAGGACAAGCUCACAGUAAUAUUACAAUGCAGGAGGUAAAAACUUGGGCAACAUAGAAAGAAGGCUCCGUUUCUUAGUCUGUAAAUGGGGACAAUAAAUAGCUGCCUCAUAAGGCUGAUGCUGGGAUCAGUCAAAUGAGAUCAUGCAAAGCACCCAGCACUGGCUAACACUCAAUAAAAAAAUAGCCAUUAUGAUCAUUAGGAAGAUAUAGGAAGAGACUUUUGUCAUUGUCACAGUUUAAUCUUGAAAAGGAACUUACUGUAUGGUAGCAUUCUGAGUCAGUUACAAGAGAAAGUAACAAGUGACCUGCAUUGCUGAGGAUCCUGCCUCCUCCAAGCUACCCUGCUACAUUGUUAAAACACCCUGGGGGAGAAAAGUAUCCUAUUCAGCCAAUGUUAAACUGUUUCCUUUUCUGAAAGUUAGAAAUAGAUGAAAAUAGCAUAAGAAAUAACUCUGUAUAUAGUAAGUUCUGGGUAAGACAAUAUUGUGGUAAGUGAACUAAACAAAGAUUAAUCUGAAAUUGGACUCUGAUCCCCAAGUGAACCAGCCAGUGUAGCCCAGUCCUUACUGGACCUGAGGAGGAAAAACAAGCCUGUGUCUAUCUCAAGCGUGAUCUGGCUAGAUAUGAUCUAAACUUUGAAAAGUGCCUAAGCAUGUUUCAGAUGCAUAUUAUGUGUUAAAUACUAAGCAGGGAGCUCUGAGCUGGGGCAGUGCACCCUGAUGCUGAGGAACUGACAUAGGAAAAUGAACACCUAGCAUUGUAAUUUGGCCUUUUGCUAUUUAUUUAUUUAUUUAUUUAUUUAUUUUGAGACGGAGUCUCUCUCUGUGGCCCAGGUUAGAGUGCAGUGGUGCAAUCUCGGCUCACUGCAACCUCCGGCUCCUGGUUCGAGCGAUUCUCCUGCUUCAGCCUCCUCAGUACCUGGGAUUCCAGGCACACGCCCCCACGCCCAGCUGAUUUUUGUAU